Molecule: long non-coding RNA, 227 nt
Organism: Bombina bombina (fire-bellied toad)
Lineage: Eukaryota; Metazoa; Chordata; Amphibia; Anura; Bombinatoridae
Exons: 2
Source: RefSeq, a predicted model, not a curated record
GCCAUUCUACUCCCUCCACUGCUGGACUGCCAAUCUGCCUCCCGGAUUACCUCCCACACCUCCCGCCGGUUCUAUGACCUGCAUCUGGUGUUUCAUGCAUUCAAAAUUUAUUAGAACUAUGAAAUAUACUGCAUUCCCAUUGAGAUACAAUACAAUGCCAGACAUCUAAGAAACAAAUUGGGAUAUAUAUGCUGAAUUUAAUAAAUAGCAAUACAGUCAAUUUAAAA